GGGGCGUGCUUAACACAUGCAAGUCGAACGAAGCACUUUAUUACGAUUUCUUCGGAAUGACGAUUUAGUGACUGAGUGGCGGACGGGUGAGUAACGCGUGGGUAACCUGCCUUAUACGGGGGGAUAACAGUUAGAAAUGACUGCUAAUACCGCAUAAGCGCACAGGAUUGCAUGAUCUGGUGUGAAAAACUCCGGUGGUAUAAGAUGGACCCGCGUCUGAUUAGCUGGUUGGUGAGGUAACGGCCCACCAAGGCGACGAUCAGUAGCCGACCUGAGAGGGUGACCGGCCACAUUGGGACUGAGACACGGCCCAAACUCCUACGGGAGGCAGCAGUGGGGAAUAUUGCACAAUGGGGGAAACCCUGAUGCAGCGACGCCGCGUGAGCGAAGAAGUAUUUCGGUAUGUAAAGCUCUAUCAGCAGGGAAGAAAAAAAUGACGGUACCUGACUAAGAAGCCCCGGCUAACUACGUGCCAGCAGCCGCGGUAAUACGUAGGUGGCAAGCGUUGUCCGGAAUUACUGGGUGUAAAGGGAGCGCAGGCGGGUGAUCAAGUCAGCUGUGAAAACUACGGGCUUAACCCGUAGACUGCAGUUGAAACUGUUCAUCUUGAGUGAAGUAGAGGUUGGCGGAAUUCCGAGUGUAGCGGUGAAAUGCGUAGAUAUUCGGAGGAACACCGGUGGCCAAGGCGGCCAACUGGGCUUUAACUGACGCUGAGGCUCGAAAGUGUGGGGAGCAAACAGGAUUCGAUACCCUGGUAGUCCACACUGUAAACGAUGAUUGGUAGGUGUGGGGGGUUUGACCCCUUCCGUGCCGGAGCUAACGCAAUAAGCAAUCCACCUGGGGAGUACGACCGCAAGGUUGAAACUCAAAGGAAUUGACGGGGACCCGCACAAGCAGUGGAUUAUGUGGUUUAAUUCGAAGCAACGCGAAGAACCUUACCAGCACUUGACAUCCAACUAACGAAAUAGAGAUAUAUUAGGUGCCCUUCGGGGAAAGUUGAGACAGGUGGUGCAUGGUUGUCGUCAGCUCGUGUCGUGAGAUGUUGGGUUAAGUCCCGCAACGAGCGCAACCCUCGCCAUUAGUUGCUACGCAAGAGCACUCUAAUGGGACCGCUACCGACAAGGUGGAGGAAGGUGGGGACGACGUCAAAUCAUCAUGCCCCUUAUGUGCUGGGCUACACACGUAAUACAAUGGCCAUCAACAGAGAGAAGCAAUACCGCGAGGUGGAGCAAAACUUCAAAAAUGGUCUCAGUUCGGACUGCAGGCUGCAACCCGCCUGCACGAAGUUGGAAUUGCUAGUAAUCGUGGAUCAGCAUGCCACGGUGAAUACGUUCCCGGGUCUUGCACA
RNAcentral lists this ribosomal RNA (1348 nucleotides) under uncultured bacterium. Its description in RNAcentral is "bacterial SSU rRNA". It matches the Rfam family "Bacterial small subunit ribosomal RNA", at positions 39 to 1387 of the family's 1533-position model. The record is from RNAcentral.